RNAcentral lists this transfer RNA (71 nucleotides) under Cordylochernes scorpioides. RNAcentral describes it as "tRNA-Gly". It matches the Rfam family "tRNA". From Rfam's summary of the family: Transfer RNA (tRNA) molecules are approximately 80 nucleotides in length. Their secondary structure includes four short double-helical elements and three loops (D, anti-codon, and T loops). Lineage: Eukaryota; Metazoa; Arthropoda; Arachnida; Pseudoscorpiones; Chernetidae. The record is from RNAcentral.
GAAUCGGUGGUUCAGUGGUAAAAUGCUCGCCUGCCACGCGGGCGGCCCAGGUUCGAUUCCCGGCUGAUGCA